RNAcentral lists this ribosomal RNA (253 nucleotides) under uncultured bacterium. RNAcentral describes it as "partial 16S ribosomal RNA". It matches the Rfam family "Bacterial small subunit ribosomal RNA", at positions 524 to 776 of the family's 1533-position model. The record is from RNAcentral.
UACGUAGGUGACAAGCGUUGUCCGGAUUUACUGGGCGUAAAGAGCGCGCAGGCGGUCGAUCAAGUCGGGUGUGAAAGCCCCGGGCUCAACCUGGGAAUUGCAUUCGAGACUGCAUUGCUGGAGUACGGAAGAGGAAGGCGGAAUUCCCGGUGUAGCGGUGAAAUGCGUAGAUAUCGGGAGGAACAUCAGUGGCGAAGGCGGCCUUCUGGUCCAGUACUGACACUCAAGUGCGAAAGCGUGGGGAGCAAACAGG